This is an RNA transcript of Carassius auratus (goldfish), 3898 nucleotides long. It is a transcript of the gene named protein shisa-4-like, with no coding region annotated. NCBI's taxonomy places the organism in Eukaryota, Metazoa, Chordata, Actinopteri, Cypriniformes, Cyprinidae. The record is from RefSeq and is a predicted model, not a curated record. The transcript is spliced from 8 exons.
AGAAUGAAACACCACUUACCAGCAGCCACGGUGUUGAAAAUAUCCUCUGGCAAUUAAAAAAUGCAUGUGCGGUGUGAGGAAUCGUCCCGGUCGGAUGAGGUCGUCGUCGUUGUCGUCAGGUGAAAGGUCAUCAUGUUGGUCAUUUUAUUUACGACUAAAUUAUUAUUAAUACAUUUUACUAAUAUUAUGAUUGGGCGUGGGCAGGCAUUCACAAAAGGGAACGUUAUUACAAAAAAAAAAAAAAAAUUCGAGAAAAUUUAGCUUUGACAAAAGGGCACUUAAGGGGCAAAGGAGCAGGUGCUCAAGUGAACCAGUUGUUUCCGACAAUUCAAUCAAAUAAACCGGUUGAAAAAAUUAAAUACGGUUCACCGCUUCUUUUGCGGUCGAUGUAAUGUCAUUGGCGAUGACUGCCCUUCAUACAAGCCUUCAGUUUACCCGCGCUUAUAACAUUAGAACAGAAUACGUCCAGAAUCAAUCAUCAAAAGAAUAAGUUUGUGGAAGUGUGAACUGACCAUGUGUGGUCCUUGUCUGGAAUCUAGACCUGAUCCACACUAGGACCAUCAAUCAUUGCGGUAUGUGGACCAAGCAAAAGCUGGUUGUGUGGGCUGGAACUGGGCCAGAGAAAUUUCCCUAUGUAGGCAGAAGCCAAACUUCAAUUCAUUCUCCUCAUCAAAUGUAAACCAUCAUCAUGGUGACCAUAGUGGUUUUCGGGAAAACUCCAUCGUAAGUGUCAGUAUUUGUGAACAAAGAGCUACAUGUGGGGUUUGUUCAUACUAAAUGCUGUCUUUUGAUUCAUCUUUCGUAGUACAUAUGGUGCGAAGAAUUACAGUCAUGAUUGCACAACACCAUUCACAGGAGAGUCAGUAGUCACCUUACCCGACUAAUAACCUUCACCCAGUUUAUGGAUUGCAAACCUUUCCGAUUGGACCUACUCUGGGACAACAAUAUGCCCCCAGCAUCCACAUAUCUGGAGUCUGCAGGUCAGAUUCCUGCUUCCUUCAGUCAGGCUGCAUAUGAUGAAGAUCAGAUCAUUUUUCCAGGAGGUCUCCCAUCCAGUGUUUGCCUGACGUUGAUGACGGAAAAGAGGGGGAAAAUCUAAAACUGGUUCAUUAGACGCCCACGAGCUGAUCUGGUAACACUGUGAGCAUCAAGAGAAGUUAGUUGAAGAGGAAGAGCAGCACGAUGGCGUUCACCUCAGCGGUUCUCAUGUUCCUGUCUGCGGGUUUAUUCACGGUAACAGACGGAGCUGACUGUGAGAGCUAUUACACCAGCAAGAACAAGUACAGACCUUCGUUUAACUGCGGGUUUCUGCAGCACUGCUGUGGAACCUGCAAUGACAGAUUCUGCUGCCCCCUUGAUAUUUUGAGGUUAUCCAAGCGUGAUCAAAAUAUGUGCAAUAUCGGCAGGAACCUUGGUUUUAUCAUUGGUUUAUCAAUAGCAGGGUUUGCGGCCUUCGUCAUCUUGUUCAUCUGCUGCUGCUGCUGCUGCUGCCCCUGCUGCUGUUUCUAUCAAACGUGCAGAAGACACAGAACUGCGGUACAAACAAAUGUAACUACAGUCAUGAAUUCACAAUCCAUUCAGAUGCAGCCAGUAAUGCAGGUAGUCCAGCCCCAACAAUACCAACCAGUGCCGACUCAAGCAGGUUACGGGGGUCAGCCUAUGCAGACAGCACCAUAUCAGGGACAGUCAAAUGCACCAGAACCCCCACCCUCGUAUGACAUGGCCAGUAAGAACAUCUAGUGCUGGAUAGACUGAGACCAUGCAGUAUCUGGAGUCUGGUCAGUUUUAUGCUCUCUUCAGUCAGGCUGCAUGUGAUGAAGAUCAGAUCAUGUACGCUCUACAAGCACAGCUUCAACCAGCGCUUCCCACAGACCACACCUCACUUCAACCACCACACAACCCUGAUUACGUGGAUUCACCAGAGACCAGUUAAACACCACCCCACCGCACCACACACACACACACACACCCACACACACACACACACACAAAUGGCCACUUAUCAACUCUGGAUUGUGGAGGGUUUCACAUUCCCGUGCUUCUUCUACAAAGAACAAUUGUGUUGAGAAUAAAAGUAUUGUUGCUUCAAUUUAGCUUAAACUUGCUUUCAAUUUUUUUUUACUCCAGUCAUUACCCACUGUUUGUUAGUUUCUCUUUAAUUUUAACCAGAUUUGCUCUCAGUGUGGUUUGACACCUUUUGUUGUAUUGCCUUUUGUUUAAUGGUCAAUAAAUGGCAUCAUAAAACGAAUUGUUUAAUGGUCAAAAGUUAAUGCAUCUUAUCUAAAUGUGAAAACAAUCCUUUGUACAAUUUUAUCGUAGAUUUUGAACAUUAUUCUAUCAAAUAAAUCAACCAGUCACGGGCCAACUUCAUACUUCCGGUGAAUAAAUGGCAGAAAUCUUAAACUGAACAGCUCUCCGUGUGAGAAAACAUUCUUGCACCAUCUUAAGACUGUUUUUAUUGUAUAUUUGUUUUUAUUGUAUAUUGUUUUAUUGUAUAUUUUGGACAUACUCUUAAAGAUAAAGGUUCUUUACUGGCAUUAAUGGUUCCACAAAGAACGUAUACAUAGAACCUGUGGUCCACUGUAUAGAGCAAUAGUCAAAUGGAAUUAGUGGCCUAAAGUCAGUCACACCUCCACCAUUCCAAAUAAUGUACAUUUCAUUCAUAAUAUUAUUAAUACAGGCCUACAGUUCCUGCACAUUUCUGUUUUUCUGAAUUGCAUGAAAUGGCUAUUAAAAAUAAGUUAUACAAAAUCAUUAUGUGGUCACUUAAGCUGAGUUCAGACCGCAAUUUUAGCCCUGAUUUUGGCACACCGACAGGUUUUGAGAAAUUGCCGACAAAUGGCCAAAAUCACAGGCAAAUCGGUGCUCGUUCACGCAAGUGACAAUCACGCAGUGAAUUGCCGACAAUUCCCAGACAGCCGUGAGAUUUUUGGCAUGUUAAAUAUUUGGACCAAUGCUUGCCAAGAUAGUUAUGCAGUGUGAAAAGAACAGUGACCCGACUACUUUGAAAAUUGUGCAGUCUGAACUCGGCUUCAGGCAAAUUGGUUUAGACUUGACUUCUGAUCGUGACCGUGUUUCACAGGAAAUCUGUUAAUUGUCCAGUGCCAAAUAAACACAGAGAUGGAAAGGAAAAGGUCAAAGCGAUGAGGUGCCCAAUUUAGAAAAAAAAGGAAAAGAAGAAGAGAAGAAAUUAGCUAAAGAUAAAGGUAUGCAGCUUUUAAUGGAAGGGUUAAUUGGUGGGUAUAACUCUUAAGUUGCCUUUGGAUACUUCACUCAUACUGCAUAUGAGGAAAAGCUUAAUUUCCCUCAAUGCUGAAGACUUUUUUAAUACUGCAGUGAAACUGCACUGCCAUUGGUUCAAACUUGAAAACUUUUUGAACCAAUGACGGUGCGGCAAAGCUGCGUGAGCCUGUGGCGAUGCAGUGCACCAAAACCUGCCAAAAUGGGCAUGAGUCUUGCCUCUCUGCGCUCAUGGAUUGCUUUCUUCAAUGAAAGCGGUCCCACCCCUCACGCCCUCCCGUUUUUCCUGCUUCAGUGAGCCAGCUAGGAAGAGACAGUGGGGUAGAGGGGCUCAGUGCCCGGACUUGGGUGAGCCCACGCCUGCUCAGUACCCGCGUGCAUCACCCUCUCCAAUGAGAGAGCUGAGCUGGGAUGGACGCCAAGCUUUUCCACAUCCUCUCAAUAUGAGACAAGUCUGGUUCUGACACACCUGCCUUUCGCAACCUCCGUAUCACCACGGAUUUGGCCAUGCACGCCACAAAAGCCACAGACCUGACCAUCGAAUGAUCCAUGGCCAACUUGAUUGUGCUAGAGUGCCAGCUCUGGCUCAACUUGAUGGAGAUCAAGGAGAAAGAUGAAGUGGCCUUUCUCAACUUCUGGGGAAGUCGUUGCCUAGUGG